GUUCCCGCGAGGGAGGGUCUGGAGGAAGCCAGCAGCAAAGCUGCGAGCCGACGGACAGAAACAUCAUAGAAGGCCGAGCGAGAGUAGUAGGUAGGGUGGGCAAAACUAGGAUAGAUAAUCCUUGCUAGCGUCUGUAAGCUUU
Halomicronema hongdechloris C2206 is the source of this 142-nucleotide non-coding RNA. Lineage: Bacteria; Bacillati; Cyanobacteriota; Cyanophyceae; Nodosilineales; Nodosilineaceae. The record is from Rfam.